GACGAACGCUGGCGGCGUGCUUAACACAUGCAAGUCGAACGGAAAGGCCCUGCUUUUGUGGGGUGCUCGAGUGGCGAACGGGGGAGUAACACGUGAGUAACCUGCCCUUGACUUUGGGAUAACUUCAGGAAACUGGGGCUAAUACCGGAUAGGAGCUCCUGCUGCAUGGUGGGGGUUGGAAAGUUGCGGCGGUUGGGGAUGGACUCGCGGCUUAUCAGCUUGUUGGUGGGGUAGUGGCUUACCCAGGCUGUGACGGGUCGCCGGCCUGAGAGGGUGACCGGCCUCAUUGGGACUGAGAUAAGGACCAGAGUCGUAUGGGAGGCAGCAGGGGGGAAUAUUGCCCAAUGGGCGGAAGCCUGUGGAAGCAACGCCGCGUGCGGGAUGCCGGCCUUCGGGGUGUAAAACGCUUUCGCCUGUGACGAAGCGUGAGUGACGGUAAUGGGUAAAGAAGCACCGGCUAACUACGUG
Molecule: ribosomal RNA, 468 nt
Filed under: uncultured bacterium
Lineage: Bacteria
Description: partial 16S ribosomal RNA
Rfam family: Bacterial small subunit ribosomal RNA
Source: RNAcentral